Gracilinanus agilis (Agile Gracile Mouse Opossum) is the source of this 1028-nucleotide long non-coding RNA. RefSeq lists it as uncharacterized. The transcript has 2 exons. Lineage: Eukaryota; Metazoa; Chordata; Mammalia; Didelphimorphia; Didelphidae. The record is from RefSeq and is a predicted model, not a curated record.
UCACUCUUUGCCAAGCAAUCCUCCAAUGGGGUCACAAAGAUUCAGACACACAACAAACUCCCACAAAACCUUCUGGCUCCAAGUCCUCUCACUGAGAAGACUCUCAGUAAAUUGGAUCUUAUGACCGUUAAUGACUUUGCUCCUGUUUGAUUUUGUAAAUGUUCUUUUGUCGCGAGCCCUCUGGGGUUCCUCGUGUACCCAUUAACCCUCAGUCUACACCUGCUGUUUUCAGGCCCAACCCGAGGUUCCUGGCUCCCAGCAGAGACAGCUGGCCGGGGGAACGAGGACAUCAAGGGUCGGAACUCUCAGUUACCAUUGAAAAGUCUACGGUAAGAAGAGAUGACGUGAAAAUCCCAUCAUUCUGCCCUAGUCCGUAUAGCAGAAUGGAGGAUCUGCCUGGGAAUGCCAUCAGCAACUACACCAAACUCCAGUUUUUCUUUUUCAUCUUACGAACCAGCUCUUAUUUAUUAUAGUUAGGUUGUUUGCACAAGCUUUGAAUCCGUGUUGUAGCUGUCUUUUAUUUUAGCGAUUUAUUUUUCCAAUGCGCCCCGAUGUGGGGCAGCCCACCUGUCCAAAUCAGUACAAAGAGGAGUCUUUCCCCAGCCUCAUUACAUGGAGUGGGAGAGAGGACAUCCCCCCUCCCUGUCCAGUGUUCAUUCCAAGACUGUAAAUAGCCGCAUGGGCUGGCCCUUCCUGCGUCUUAAAAAUCAUUUUUUGAAUCGCCUCUAGAGAAGUUUUAGCUAGUCCCUGUGUUCGAGAGUUCAUGGUAACUUGCCAGUGACCCGAUUUCCUAAGUCUCAUUGCACCAGGUAGGUCACAGACCCCAAAAUGCUUUAUCAAGUGAUGAAACAAGCCAUGUACCCAUACUACAGCAGAUGGAUGUCACCAGUCAGCCCAGAAUGACCAGAAUGCCAUGGCUCUCCAGCCUCCCUCCUUCGCUCCCAGAUUUUCAGGAUGUGGAUUGAUUUUGUUGCCUAAUGUAAAUAAGACCCUUAAUAAAAACAAAGAACAGGAAUUUUGUUUCCAUA